GGGGAAUCUUGGACAAUGGGCGCAAGCCUGAUCCAGCCAUGCCGCGUGAGUGAAGAAGGCCUUAGGGUUGUAAAGCUCUUUUGGCAGGGACGAUAAUGACGGUACCUGCAGAAUAAGCCCCGGCAAACUUCGUGCCAGCAGCCGCGGUAAUACGAAGGGGGCUAGCGUUGUUCGGAUUUACUGAGCGUAAAGCGCACGUAGGCGGAUUGUUAAGUCAGGGGUGAAAUCCCGGAGCUCAACUCCGGAACUGCCUUUGAUACUGGCAAUCUUGAUUCUGGAAGAGGUUGGUAGAAUUCCCAGUGUUGAGGUGAAAUUCGUAUAUAUUGGGAAGAAUACCAGUGGCGAAGGCGGCCAACUGGUCCAGAUCUGACGCUGAGUUGCGAAAGCGUGGGGAGCAAACA
RNAcentral lists this ribosomal RNA (401 nucleotides) under uncultured bacterium. Its description in RNAcentral is "bacterial SSU rRNA". It matches the Rfam family "Bacterial small subunit ribosomal RNA", at positions 356 to 774 of the family's 1533-position model. The record is from RNAcentral.